UAAAAAACUCUAAAUAAAUGAGAGAAAAAAAAAAAAUAAAUAAAAUUCUCGUUAACCGAUCUCAAAAUUACGAACGCUUUGUAAAAAUGUGCCAUAUCGUCAAUUGUUAGCCAUCUCUUAAUCAUAAUUUAAUCUGUAAACAAAUUUUUAAAUAAACAAACUCGAUAUCGAGCGCGUUAGAAAAGCGAUAAUGAUUGAAUUAAUGAGUUGAAGAAACGGAAGAAGGAAGGAUGGAAGAUCGAUUCGAUCGAUCUUAUUAAAUGUCAUAUAUUAAUGCCGUGUAUCAGGUAUUCACGAACGUCUACGCCUUAAAGGUCGGUUUGUCGCGAGAAACUAAUUGCGGAGCGGCUGCGGUCAUGUAUCACAACGACGACAAGCGACGAGGAAAGCGGCACGAGUGAAUUACUGGGCGGAGGAUUGCUUUAUGACUUGUAACGACGCCCUCGUUUACUCGAUCGCAUCUGCUUCCCCAACUUUCGUUCCAGUUUUUCCGAGUUCGAGCUCCUUGACCUUGAUGGGGCUUCGGUUUCCGGGAUUAACGCUCGAAAUGCUUCCGCGUGCGAAGAAUGAAUGCAAAGAAGGGGAAAUCCCUCUUCUUUCCGACUCCAGAACGUUGUGACCUCUGGUGGUGGAAAGGCUGUACUACUGCUACUACUCCCACCACUAAUCUCGAGUACGAAGCGAGUGAAAUAUAAUUGCCAGGAUAAAUGUUUAUUGGAAACAAUUCGGGUAACGUUCGACGAGUUAGUCCCACAGUUACAUCUCUGGAAUUUUGUUCACGUGCCUCACAAUUGCACCGAAUAAUCUGUAUCGUUGCCUGAGAACUGCGAUGCACGCCAUCUGCAGGAUUAUCGGUGUCAAAACGUUAUCCUGAAUAUCGAACCCAGUCUCUCGAACGAGGCUGUGUCUUCUGAACGCGUUAGGGUAUUCAGGGAUGAAAUAUCAGGAGCGCAGGGAUGAAUAAUACAUGGGGAUUCGGUGGAGGAAAAAAUAACCUUCCUCGAUUCGUCUCGUGAUCCUCGUUGUCGAAACUUUUUAAACGAGUGAUCGGAAUAUUUAAAUAAUCAAAAAUUUAAUUAAAACGGAUUAGUAGUUCUGAUCGAGAUAAAUUAAUCAUUGAAAUUAAUAUGACUUUGAUUGUUAAUUAUUACAUUUUUGUAUAUAUAUACGAAACAAAUUAGUUUUUUAAAUAAUUUUGAUCGUCGAUUAAAAAUAUUAAACAUCGUUAAUUGUUGGAUCGUUGUCAUUAUUUGUACGAAGGACAUUAGUAAUUGAAACAAAUAUACAUUAAUGUAUAUUUCGAUGAAACUAGGUUUUAGAUCAUUGAUUAAAAAUAUUAAGCAUCGUUAAUUUGUUGGUUAAUUGUUGUCGUUAUAUGUAUAACACUCUACAUAUGUACACAUAAAGCAUUGAUACACGAGAUGGAAACAAAUCAAUUAUAUAAAAUGGAGAGUAACUUUGAUCAAA
Molecule: long non-coding RNA, 1467 nt
Organism: Apis cerana (Asiatic honeybee)
Lineage: Eukaryota; Metazoa; Arthropoda; Insecta; Hymenoptera; Apidae
Source: RefSeq, a predicted model, not a curated record